RNAcentral lists this long non-coding RNA (1608 nucleotides) under Piliocolobus tephrosceles (Ugandan red Colobus). Its description in RNAcentral is "lncRNA (ENSPTEG00000006563.1)". Lineage: Eukaryota; Metazoa; Chordata; Mammalia; Primates; Cercopithecidae. The record is from RNAcentral.
AAACUUUUUAUUAAAGUAUUAUACAAAUUUAAUAACUUGUAUUUUAAAAAGUUUUUUAUUUGUAUUUUUAUAAUUAUUAAAAAAAAAAAUUAAUUCUUAAAUUAUUUAUACAUUUUUAAUUUUUAUACAUUAUCUUUAAUUAUUUUCAUUGUAAAAGGUUUAGUUUAAAUUUUAAAAUAUGUACGAUAUAUUUAUGUAUAUGUAUACAUUAUAAAUGUAUGUUUAUUUAUAUAUACCAUGUACGUGAUUUAUUCUCUUUUUUUUGAAAACCAUAGUUUUAAUAUAAUAAAAAAAAAAAAUAAAUAUAUAAUUAGAAUUAGAAUUUACCUGUGUUUUUACUUUUGCAUAUCUUUAUAUUAUAUAUUUUUAUACUAUAUUUAUUUUUUCAUUAUAUUUUUCAUAUUAUUUUAUAUUUUUUAUAUUUUCACAUUUUUUUAGAGUAUAGUUUUUUAUAUAAAAUAGUUAUACUGGCUUUUAUUAUUAAUUUAGCUACUUUAUAUAUAUAUAUAUAUACCCAUAUAUGUAAAUAUAUAUAUACCUAUAUAUGUAAAUAUAUAUAUACCUAUAUAUGUAAAUAUAUAUAUACCUAUAUAUGUAAAUAUAUAUAUAUAUAUUUUUCUAUUUUUAAUAAUGUUUUAAAUUGUAUAAUUUUAUUAUUGUAAGUAUCGUUGUUAUCAAUAAAUUAGUUAACUUUUUAACUAAAAAAAAAAAUUACAACUACAUUAUAGAAAUAGAUAUAUAUUUUUUUUUAAAUAAUGUACAUAGUAUUAUGUUGAUUAUCUAUUUCAUCAUUUUUUAAUUUUUUUUUAAUUUUCUUUCUGUAUUUUUAAUCACGUUUAAUUAUAAACAAAAAUUGAUAAGUUAGAAUGAAGCCCCGUAAAUUCUACGGUUUAAUAAAGAAGACGUACUAUGAAAAAAAAAAAAGAUCUUUUUCUCUAUGUGUUCUUUUUUUUAAUACCUUUUGUGUUAAUCUAUUUCCAUUUGUUUUUGAGGAACAUAAGCGAUAGAUACUCAUUAGAAAUAUACAACAAUUUUUCUGAAGAUGAUAAGAUCGACUUAAAUGAUACCAUAAGACAAUACAUAACAUUUACGAGUAAUGAUUUAUGUGCAACGAUAUUGAACGACGAUAUUUAUAUAAACCACAUAUGUAUAACGCCUAAAAGUGACUUGGCAAAUGGUUUUUUAUUUUACACAAAUGAUAAUGAUUUAAAUGUUUUUCGAUUAUACAAAAAUGAAGAAGAAUGUUUGAAAAAUUUAAAAUAUGCUAUACAGUUAAAAUAUGAAGACGUUAAAAAUAUAACCAACAACAGUAGUUACAAUAACAGUAGUAACAACAAAAAUAAAAUUGAAAACACGGAAGAUGUGGCAUAUGAUGAUAAAUUUAUUGAAUUUAAUCGAGUCAUAAAUAAUAUAUUUAAAAGUAAUAUAAGUAAUAAAGAAUCAUUAAGUUUAGAUGAUUUAUAUAAAAAUGUGUAUUUACAAAAGGAAUAUAAUAAUUUAUUAAAAGUAAAAAUAGAUAAACAACUGUUAAAGGAAAUUAAAAAAACAAAUUUAUAUAAAACUUUUAUUAAAACUAUUAAAAAUUUAAAAAAAGGAAAGUUAUUAUAA